This 456-nucleotide ribosomal RNA is filed under the name uncultured bacterium. RNAcentral's name for it is "partial 16S ribosomal RNA". It matches the Rfam family "Bacterial small subunit ribosomal RNA", at positions 28 to 523 of the family's 1533-position model. The record is from RNAcentral.
GAUAAACGCUGGCGGCGUGCCUAACACAUGCAAGUCGAACGCCCUGCGCAAGCAGGGAGUGGCGGACGGGUGAGUAACACGUGGGUCAUCUACCAUCAGGUGAGGAAUACCGGCGAGAAAUCGCCGACAAUACCGCAUAUGCUCGCAAGAGCAAAGCUCGUAAGGGCGCCUGAGGAUGAGCCUGCGUCCGAUUAGCUAGUUGGUGAGGUAAUGGCUCACCAGGGCUCCGAUCGGUAGCUGGUCUGAGAGGAUGACCAGCCACACUGGGACUGAGACACGGCCCAGACUCCUACGGGAGGCAGCAGUGGGGAAUAUUGGACAAUGGGCGAAAGCCUGAUCCAGCCAUGCCGCGUGAGUGAUGAAGGCCUUAGGGUUGUAAAGCUCUUUCACCCACGACGAUGAUGACGGUAGUGGGAGAAGAAGCCCCGGCUAACUUCGUGCCAGCAGCCGCCGUAA